GCACAAGCAGUGGAGUAUGUGGUUUAAUUCGAAGCAACGCGAAGAACCUUACCAGGUCUUGACAUCCAACUAACGAAGUAGAGAUACAUUAGGUGCCCUUCGGGGAAAGUUGAGACAGGUGGUGCAUGGUUGUCGUCAGCUCGUGUCGUGAGAUGUUGGGUUAAGUCCCGCAACGAGCGCAACCCUUGCUAUUAGUUGCUACGCAAGAGCACUCUAAUAGGACUGCCG
Molecule: ribosomal RNA, 228 nt
Filed under: uncultured bacterium
Lineage: Bacteria
Description: partial 16S ribosomal RNA
Rfam family: Bacterial small subunit ribosomal RNA
Source: RNAcentral